GACGAACGCUGGCGGCGUGCUUAACACAUGCAAGUCGAGCGGCAGCGGGUUCCCGCGAGGGGAUGCCGGCGAGCGGCGGACGGGUGAGGAACACAUCGGAAUCUGCCUGGUUGUGGGGGAUAACGUAGGGAAACUUACGCUAAUACCGCAUGCGACCCUGAGUCGACGGACUGGGGGUGAAAGUGAGGGACCUUCGGGCCUCACGCGACCAGAUGAGCCGAUGUCGGAUUAGCAGUUGGCGGGGUAACGGCCCGCCAAGGCGACGAUCCGUAGCUGGUCUGAGAGGAUGAUCAGCCACACUGGGACUGAGACACGGCCCAGACUCCUACGGGAGGCAGCAGUGGGGAAUCUUGGACAAUGGGCGCAAGCCUGAUCCAGCCAUGCCGCG
Molecule: ribosomal RNA, 388 nt
Filed under: uncultured bacterium
Lineage: Bacteria
Description: bacterial SSU rRNA
Rfam family: Bacterial small subunit ribosomal RNA
Source: RNAcentral